RNAcentral lists this non-coding RNA (909 nucleotides) under Phalacrocorax carbo (great cormorant). Its description in RNAcentral is "12S ribosomal RNA". It matches the Rfam family "Bacterial small subunit ribosomal RNA", at positions 317 to 1533 of the family's 1533-position model. Lineage: Eukaryota; Metazoa; Chordata; Aves; Suliformes; Phalacrocoracidae. The record is from RNAcentral.
CCCCCAACCCUUGACCCCCCCCCCACCCCCACAGGCAAGGGGAGCAGGCAUCAGGCACGCCCCUUAGCAGCCCAAGACGCCUUGCCCGGCCACACCCCCACGGGUAUUCAGCAGUAAUUAACAUUAAGCAAUAAGUGUAAACUUGACUUAGCCAUAGCAAUAUCCAAGGGCCGGCAAAUCUUGUGCCAGCCGCCGCGGUCACACAAGAGGCCCAAAUUAACAGAAAUUCGGCGUAAAGAGUGGUUACAUGCUAUCUCCACAACUAGGGCCAAAAUACAGCUGAGCUGUCAUAAGCUUAAACUGCACCUAAGACCCCCCUCAAGAUGACCCUAGCACACACGAUCCAUUAAACCCCACCAAAGCUAGGGCCCAAACUGGGAUUAGAUACCCCACUAUGCCUAGCCCUAAAUCUUGGCACUUCCCCUACUAAAGUGCCCGCCCGAGAACUACGAGCGCAAACGCUUAAAACUCUAAGGACUUGGCGGUGCCCCAAACCCACCUAGAGGAGCCUGUUCUAUAAUCGAUAACCCACGAUUCACCCGACCGCCCCUUGCCAAAACAGCCUACAUACCGCCGUCGUCAGCCCACCUUCGUGAAAGAACAACAGUGAGCGCAAUAGCCCCACCCGCUAAUAAGACAGGUCAAGGNAUAGCUCAUGGAGCGGAAGAAAUGGGCUACAUUUUCUGAAACAGAAAACUUAACGAAAGGGGACGUGAAACCGUCCCCGAAAGGCGGAUUUAGCAGUAAAGCGGGACAAUAGAGCCCCCUUUAAACCGGCCCUGAGGCACGUACAUACCGCCCGUCACCCUCCUCACAAGCCACAAAUACCCCAUAACUAAUACCCCUGCCGGCCAAAGAUGAGGUAAGUCGUAACAAGGUAAGUGUACCGGAAGGUGCACUUAGCCCAUC